Pseudopipra pipra is the source of this 2195-nucleotide long non-coding RNA. RefSeq lists it as uncharacterized. The record is from RefSeq and is a predicted model, not a curated record. The transcript has 4 exons. Lineage: Eukaryota; Metazoa; Chordata; Aves; Passeriformes; Pipridae.
GGUUAUUAUUGUAAUCAUUUCGUUUUUAGCUAUAUUUAGCUAAGAGUUAAAGACAACAUGGGUGUCUCAUUUCUAGCCCACCUACACAAUCAUCCAUUCAUUUGUAUAUUGUGUCUUUAGAUUAAGUUAGAAAUAAAAGUGUGUUUGAACUAAUUAUUUAUUUAUCUAGGUGUUAAAAUUCAACAGUAAAUCAAAAUUGACAAAAAUGUCAAACAGCUUUGGAGUAUUGUCUACAUAUGGGAGGUGGUGGCUUCUGAAACAAUACUUUCAGGAGAUCGGGAUUGUACCUUACUGCAGGAUGUGAAAAAUACUGACUUGGUUUUUAAGCAAGCUCGUGUGCUAAUAAGAGCUAAUAGAUCAAAUACAAAUGAAUAAAAAAUUAUUCAAUCUGUCACAGCAUAAACUUGUUUCAAUGCAACAUAUUCACGGACUGCAGCAAAUCUUUCUGGUUUAAUUGGAACUUGUAUCACCUUGACCUUUCCUAGCACAGAGCAGAGUGCCCCUCUGAAGCAACGACAGCAUCUGCAUCCUCAUUCCAUUUUAAUCAGAGCUCAAUUUGGAUUUCUAUGUCUCGGCAAUCAGUGCAUUGCGGAGCAAGGAAACUGCAGAAAUAAAUGAGAUGUUGCCUUGUUCCAGCUGAUUAAAACAUGAUUCAAGGUGACUUUUAGGUGACAUUACAAGUUGUCAGAACAGCAGUGUACUUUUCUUUAUGACAGAAAAAAAAUGUGUGAGGGAUGUUUAUUUCCCCUAUCUGAGAUAAGUGACAGAAUUGAAAUGAGAGCACUGGUGUGUCCACGAAAAUAUAUCAGUGUUUAAAGAAUCCUAUUAUUAGACACAGUGGAAACUACAUCUUGGAUAAGCCUCCCAUACUGUGGGUAAUUAUCACAAGCCAGAAUGCUAAUUGCUUUUCGAUCUGCUCUGUGCCUCUGAUGAGUCUUGUUGAGGGCUACUGGGGCUGUACCAGACACUAACACUUAAUGAGACAAAGUUUAUCAGAGUACAGCAUCUGCUAUUACUAAGUGAAGAACAGGAAAAAUACGCCUUAAGAUGAAAAGAGAAAAAAAUAAAGAGAGAUAAAACUAUGGGACAACAAGAAGAAUUAAAAAAAUGUUUUCAUUAUACUUUCUUUUCAGAUGUUAAGUAACUAUGUCCUCAUCAUAGAUAAAAAAAAGAUAAAAAUUUGCUUGUUAUGGUCUGGUUACUUGAAAAGGCGUAGAGGAAGAAAAACAUUCUGAAUAUUUUAUUUUGAAGAAAUAAUUACUUGAUGCAAAGUGUGAAGGCAUACUUUAUUCGUCCUCCUGAAAGCUGAAUUGUUCGCACAGUUCCAAAAACAGGCUGACAAAUUCCAGGACAUACUGCCAAAUUCUAGACCAUGGUACAACCAAGUUGGAUGCAAGCUUGAACGCUACAGAAAGUUCCAAUUGCAGAGAAAAAACCAAAUUAUUUCUAUGUAAAAGGCCUGACUGAAGACAAACAGGACUGAAGAGUAUUGCAGCCAUAACUCUUACUUUUCAAGGUACCUGGUAACGGGUCAUUACAUAUGCUUAAGGUGUAUGUUAUAGAGACAAUAGAAGAACUGCAUCUAAGGGAAUAUUGGUUAAACUUUAAUUUUACUUAGGCUUAUUCUGCUUAUUUUGAAAACUCUUUAUUCAGAACUUAAAUGUGCAGGUCCCUAUUUUAAUUUUUUCAAGCAAUUAGAAAGAUACUAUGAUCUGAGAUGCACACUACCUAGUGUUUUUCUUCUUGAAGUUUAAAAGAACUACUUCAAAUAAUGCAGUUAUGUAAAAAUGAGGAAAAAAAAAGAUAUUAAGAUGCAAAGCUAUUAAUUUUUUGGUUUAGCUGUUCCACAGCUGCAAACAACCACAUGCUGAUGUACUAUGAAGCUGUCAUGAAGCCGACGAAACCUCCACAAAUCACUGACAAAAAUUAACUAAAUAGUUCAGAUGAGUAUUUAGUAAUUUUUCUUUACUAUAUAAAACAUAUUUUGGCAUGGUUCAUGAACUUACUGACGUCCAGCAACAGUCAAAGACAGUAUAUCUAUAUGCCUUCCUUUGAUGACUGUUAUAAAUAAAGUUGUAGAGACUGGAUUCAAUCUAAAGCUUCUGGACCAUACUUAAUACUGAUACGAAAACCUUUGGGUUUUCUUAUAUCAUAAUCCUCAUAUUCAUAAGAAAAAUCCAACCACCCUAUUAUAA